This 480-nucleotide ribosomal RNA is filed under the name uncultured Oscillospiraceae bacterium. RNAcentral describes it as "partial 16S ribosomal RNA". Lineage: Bacteria; Bacillati; Bacillota; Clostridia; Eubacteriales; Oscillospiraceae. The record is from RNAcentral.
CACGUAGUUAGCCGGAGCUUAUUCAUCAGGUACCGUCACAUCCUUCGUCCCUGAUAAAAGAAGUUUACAACCCGAGGGCCUUCUUCCUUCACGCGGCAUUGCUGGGUCAGGCUUGCGCCCAUUGCCCAAUAUUCCCCACUGCUGCCUCCCGUAGGAGUCUGGGCCGUAUCUCAGUCCCAAUGUGGCCGUUCAUCCUCUCAGACCGGCUACUGAUCGCAGCCUUGGUGGGCCGUUACCCCGCCAACUAGCUAAUCAGACAUGAGCCCAUCCUUCAGCGAUAAAUCUUUGAUUUUAGGAAGAUGCCUUCCCAAAAUGUUAUGCGGUAUUAGCAGUCGUUUCCAACUGUUGUCCCCCUCUGAAGGGCAGGUUGCUCAUGCAUUACUCACCCGUUCGCCACUGUCCUCUAUUUCAAUUGGACGAAUCCUCUAUCCAUAGAUUCUCGUUCGACUUGCAUGUGUUAGGCAUGCCGCCAGCGUUCAU